Molecule: transfer RNA, 88 nt
Filed under: Deltaproteobacteria bacterium
Lineage: Bacteria; Pseudomonadati; Myxococcota; Myxococcia
Description: tRNA-Leu
Rfam family: tRNA
About the family: Transfer RNA (tRNA) molecules are approximately 80 nucleotides in length. Their secondary structure includes four short double-helical elements and three loops (D, anti-codon, and T loops). Further hydrogen bonds mediate the characteristic L-shaped molecular structure. tRNAs have two regions of fundamental functional importance: the anti-codon, which is responsible for specific mRNA codon recognition, and the 3' end, to which the tRNAs corresponding amino acid is attached (by aminoacyl-tRNA synthetases). tRNAs cope with the degeneracy of the genetic code in two manners: having more than one tRNA (with a specific anti-codon) for a particular amino acid; and 'wobble' base-pairing, i.e. permitting non-standard base-pairing at the 3rd anti-codon position.
Source: RNAcentral
GCCCGGGUGGCGGAACUGGUAGACGCAAGGGACUUAAAAUCCCUCGGUACUAUGUGCUGUGCCGGUUCGAUUCCGGCCCCGGGCACCA